Molecule: ribosomal RNA, 2862 nt
Filed under: Marinilabilia salmonicolor
Lineage: Bacteria; Pseudomonadati; Bacteroidota; Bacteroidia; Marinilabiliales; Marinilabiliaceae
Description: bacterial LSU rRNA
Rfam family: Bacterial large subunit ribosomal RNA
Source: RNAcentral
ACUAAGAAAGUAAAAAAGGGCGCAUGGCGGAUGCCUUGGCUCUCAGAGGCGAAGAAGGACGUGAUAAGCUGCGAAAAGUCAUGGGUAGGUGCAAAUAACCAUUGAUCCGUGAAUAUCCGAAUGGGGCAACCCACUGUAUUGAAGAUACAGUAUCCAGUAAUGGAGGCGAACCCGGAGAACUGAAACAUCUAAGUACCCGGAGGAAGAGAAAACAAAAGUGAUUCUCCUAGUAGCGGCGAGCGAACAGGGAUUAGCCCAAACCAUUGUUGUUUAGGCAAUGAUGGGGUAAUAGGACUGCGGUGUGAGGAUUAAAGACGAAAUGGAAGCAUCUGGAAAGUUGCAUCAAAGAGGGUGACAAUCCCGUACAUGUAAGUGUUUAAUUUUCUAGCAGUAUCCUGAGUAGGACGGGACACGAGAAAUCCUGUCUGAAUUAGCCGGGACCAUCCGGUAAGGCUAAAUACUCCUGAGAGACCGAUAGUGAACAAGUACCGUGAGGGAAAGGUGAAAAGCACCCCUGGCAGGGGAGUGAAAAAGUACCUGAAACCGUGCGCCUACAAGCAGUCGAAGCCCUUUAGUGGGGUGACGGCGUGCCUUUUGCAUAAUGAGCCUACGAGUUAUUCCUUACCGGCAAGGUUAAGUAUUUCAAGAUACGUAGCCGAAGCGAAAGCGAGUCUGAACAGGGCGAUAGAGUCGGUAGGGAUAGACGCGAAACCAGGUGAUCUACCCAUGGUCAGGUUGAAGUCCCGGUAACACGGGAUGGAGGACCGAACCAGUAAACGUUGAAAAGUUUUUGGAUGAACUGUGGGUAGGGGUGAAAGGCCAAUCAAACCUGGAAAUAGCUCGUACUCCCCGAAAUGCAUUUAGGUGCAGCCUUAUGAAAGUUUAGCACAGGUAGAGCUACUGAUAGGACGCGAGGGUUUCAUCGCCUAUCAACUCCUGACAAACUCCGAAUGGUGCUAAAUGAUUCAUAGGAGUGAGGGCAUGGGUGCUAAGGUCCGUGUCCGAGAGGGAAAGAACCCAGACCACCGUCUAAGGUCCCCAAAUGUAUGCUAAGUUGAAGAAAACGCGGUAUGGUUGCACAGACAGCUAGGAUGUUGGCUUGGAAGCAGCCACUCAUUUAAAGAGUGCGUAACAGCUCACUAGUCGAGCGACCGUGCAUGGAUAAUAAUCGGGCAUUAAGCAUGCUACCGAAGACGUGGAUUUGUGACAUUAGUCACAACUGGUAGGGGAGCAUUCCAACACCGCCGAAGCAGUAUUGUGAGAUAUUGUGGAGGAAUUGGAAAAGCAAAUGUAGGCAUAAGUAACGAUAAUGAAGGUGAGAGACCUUCACGCCGAAAGACUAAGGUUUCCUGAUCAACGCUAAUCGGAUCAGGGUCAGUCGGGACCUAAGGAUAACCCGAAUGGGGAAGCCGAUGGCAAGCAGGUCAACAUUCCUGCACCCGCUAUACAAUAAAAGUGACGGGGUCACCAGGUGUCUGAGCGCUGACGGAAUAGCGCCCUGAGCCUAGGCUACGGCCGAAGCGAAGACAAGUAAUGACUUCCAAGAAAAGCGAGUAUAGCGGCCCGUACCGUAAACGGACACACGUAGUUGGGUUGAGUAUACUAAGGCGCUCGAGUGAUCCGCGGCCAAGGAACUAGGCAAAUUAGUCCUGUAACUUCGGGAGAAAGGACCCCCGGUAUUGAUUUCGGUUAAUAUUGGGGCGCAGAGAAAUGGCCCAGGCGACUGUUUACCAAAAACACAUGGCUUUGCUAAAUCGAAAGAUGAUGUAUAAGGCCUGACACCUGCCCGGUGCCGGAAGGUUAAGAGGAGAUGUUAGUUUCGGCGAAGCAUUGAAUUGAAGCCCCGGUAAACGGCGGCCGUAACUAUAACGGUCCUAAGGUAGCGAAAUUCCUUGUCGGGUAAGUUCCGACCUGCACGAAUGGUGUAACGAUCUGGGCACUGUCUCAGCCGCGAGCUCGGUGAAAUUGUAGUACCGGUGAAGAUGCCGGUUACCCGCAACGGGACGGAAAGACCCCGUGAACCUUUACUGCAACUUAACAUUGAUUUUGGGUAAGUGAUGUGUAGGAUAGGUCGGAGACUAUGAAGCGGUAUCGCCAGGUAUCGUGGAGUCGCCCUUGAAAUACGACCCUUUACUUGCUUGGAGUCUAAUCCCACAGCGUGGGAGACAUUGUUUGGUGGGUAGUUUGACUGGGGUGGUCGCCUCCAAAAGAGUAACGGAGGCUUCCAAAGGUUCCCUCAAGACGAUUGGUAACCGUCUGAAGAGUAUAAUGGUACAAGGGAGCUUGACUGUGAGACCAACAAGUCGAUCAGGUGCGAAAGCAGGGCAUAGUGAUCCGGUGGUUCCGAAUGGAAGGGCCAUCGCUCAAAGGAUAAAAGGUACUCCGGGGAUAACAGGCUGAUCGCCGCCAAGAGCUCAUAUCGACGCGGCGGUUUGGCACCUCGAUGUCGGCUCGUCACAUCCUGGGGCUGGAGAAGGUCCCAAGGGUUGGGCUGUUCGCCCAUUAAAGUGGCACGCGAGCUGGGUUCAGAACGUCGUGAGACAGUUCGGUCCCUAUCUGUUGUGGGCGUAGGAAAUUUGAGAGACCCUGUCAUUAGUACGAGAGGACCGUGAUGGACAGACCACUGGUGCAUCAGUUGUUCCGCCAGGAGCAUCGCUGAGUAGCUAAGUCUGGAAGGGAUAAGUGCUGAAAGCAUCUAAGCACGAAGCCUGUCUCAAGAUAAGAUUUCCAUAUAAGGGGCGUUGCAGACGACGACGUUGAUAGGCUGCAGGUGUAAAUACGGUGACGUAUGUAGCCGAGCAGUACUAAUUACCCAAAACUUUUAAGUUGGGGAGUUCAAUCUCCACACUGAAGCAUUAUUAC